Molecule: ribosomal RNA, 624 nt
Filed under: Triticum aestivum (bread wheat)
Lineage: Eukaryota; Viridiplantae; Streptophyta; Magnoliopsida; Poales; Poaceae
Description: partial small subunit ribosomal RNA
Source: RNAcentral
AUGGUCAUCACUUCCGCCUCCGCGGCGGCCAGCGCCGUGCCGCCGCCUCCCGCGAAAACAAAAUCCGGGACCCUAGCUACAGCACCAUCUCUCACGGCCACAAGAAGGCACCUCCUCCUGGCUUCCACCGCAUCCGCACUCCCCACGGCCGCCGCCUCCGCCGCAGCCUCUCGAUUCACCGAGAUCCCUAGCUCCGGCGGCGUGAAGGCCCUAGAGCUCCGGGAGGGUUCAGGCGAGGUCCCAGUCGACGGAGACCAGGUUGCAAUUCACUACUAUGGGAGGCUGGCUGCGAAGCAAGGAUGGCGCUUUGACUCAACCUAUGAUCACAAGGACGCGACCGGUGAUCCGAUACCUUUUGUCUUUACCAUCGGGUCUAGAAAGGUUAUACCUGGUAUUGAAGCGGCAGUGAAGUCCAUGAGAGUUGGUGGUCUUCGCCGUGUGGUCAUUCCGCCAUCACAGGGAUAUCAAAACACAUCACAGGAACCAAUUCCUCCUAAUUUCUUUGAUCGACAGAGAUUAUUUACUACUAUAUUCAACCCGACACGCCUCGCAAAUGGCGAGGGUUCCACUCUUGGUACUGUCAUCUUCGACAUCGAGCUGAUCAGCAUAAGGCAGCAUACAUGA